GGCCCUCUAUCCUCACAACAUAAUGCCAAGCAUAUCACAUCUGCCUCCUCUAUCUCUGUUUGCCGUCCUCGACAGAGAGAAACCACUUCCCUUCCCCUAUGCUAAGUAAUAUCAUUACAAAUAGGAUCAGAACGGGACUUGAAACUACAGUGGUUGGAGAAGGUGAAGAGAAGGGGAAUUAUACCAGGCACUGACCUUCUGGGAGCUGGAUCAGCAAAGGGUCUAAAGGGUCGCAGUUAAGGGACGAUGCUAAUGGCGACAACAACCAUGGGUGCUUGUUCCCAUGGAACCUCUCUUCAGCUGUUGCUAGGGAGUCUCGUGGAGUAGCAGGCUGAGCAGCUCAUCCUGGACGGCAGCA
This 358-nucleotide long non-coding RNA is filed under the name Triticum aestivum (bread wheat). RNAcentral describes it as "long non-coding RNA (TAES_LNC002085)". Lineage: Eukaryota; Viridiplantae; Streptophyta; Magnoliopsida; Poales; Poaceae. The record is from RNAcentral.